Camelina sativa (false flax) is the source of this 2339-nucleotide non-coding RNA. The record is from RefSeq and is a predicted model, not a curated record. Lineage: Eukaryota; Viridiplantae; Streptophyta; Magnoliopsida; Brassicales; Brassicaceae.
UGUCGUUCACCUUUUCCUCUUCCUCUCCUCUGUUUCACGAGAAACAGAACUGACAAACACAACUGAAAAACAAUCCUAAUUUCACUCCCACUAACAGAUCCACGUUCAUGGUGGUUACCACAAAUUCCAUCUUCUAUAUAAAUGUUUUUGUAACAUUCUCUAAUCGCAGAAAAAUAUUUCCUCAAAACCUCUUUUAUAAUAAAAAAAUAAUGCCCCAAUCUUUCCUUCCAAAACCUCUUUCAACUGAACAAAGCUAAAUUCCUUUCAAAACAACAGUUCUGACAGAGCUACAACAUGCCUCUUGAUUUUACUCAUCUCUCUAAUCUAAAUUCUUUAAAAAGAGAAUGGAAGAUCAAAGUUCUAAUAGCCAGGACAUGGAAUUUUUAUCCAAAAGACAAACCUGGAGUUAUUUUGGGUAUUGAAGCAAUUCUAAUGGAUGCAAAGGGGGAUCGAAUUCAAGCAUCAGUGAAAAACACUUUAGUUAGAAAAUUCAAAAAGGAAUUGGUGGAAGGAAGGUUUUGUGAUAUCAUGAAUUUUGAUGUUCGUGAUAACCUUGGUGACUACAAGGGAACUGUACAUCCUUACAAGAUUAAUUUCAUGUUUACUACAUGGGUGAAGCCGUGUGAUCAGAUCCCAAGUAUAUCUCGCUUCAACUGUUAUUCUUUCUCAGAGAUUUCAACUCAAUCCAAUGUGGAUGACGUAUUCUUCGAUAUGUAUCCUCCUGCUAUUCUACAUGUCACUUUACUCUUAAAUAGAUUAACAAAUCCUUUAUCGUUUUCAAGUGGAGAUCAAUCUUUCACAGUAAAGUUUAUUUAAAAGGAAAAAUGUUGACAAUAUCUUCCUUUCUGUUUAUUUAAGCAUUCUGAUUUCCAUUUUUUUCCCAGAUAUUAUUGGAGAAGUUGUUGGUAUGAGUCAGAUUACUGAGAAAGAUUUUUCUGGACAGAAGUCAAAGCUGUUGGAUAUUCAGCUAAGAGAUCUAAGUGACACUAUCAUGGAGUGUAAUUUAUGGGAGAAUCACACUGAAGAUGUAUAUACUUAUGUUACCAAAAAAACUGCAGGUCCUAUAAUAUUACUUGGGAGUCUUAUGAGGAUCAAAAAAUUUAAUGGUAAAGUAUCUGUUCAAAAUUCUAGAUUCUCUACAAAGUUUUUUCUUGAUGGAGACCUAUCUGAGAUUGCUGAAUUUAAAAAGCAGCUGGGCAAUAGGGACUCAAAUGAUGUUCAUAGAGUUUCUCAACUCAUGACACCUGAUUUGAGCAACAAAGUUGAAGAUUCUUUCCCAUUAAGCAGCUGAGAAUCUAUUGAUCAGAUUACUAAAACUUCUCAUGUAUUUGUUUUCAUAUUCAAGUCUACUUUAUAAAGUUGAUAUAUACUUAUUUGAUUUUUAAAAUUGUUAGAAAAAUACUUGCGUUACUUUUGCAAGAAUUUUGGAAUUUCGAAAAGACAUUGAAUGGUAUUAUGUUGGAUGCACACAAUGUUUCAAGAGGGCCAUGCCCUAUUUUAAUCCAGAAACAGAAGCACUUGACCUCAACAAGUAUUCACCUUAACAAUUUAAUAAAGUAUGACACUUGCAUAUCACAAAGAUUAAAAUAUCAGCAUUCUUUGUCUUCCUCUUAGGUACAAAGUACUUGUUAAAGUUGUUGAUCAUACAGCUGCAACCGCUACCUUCCUUUUGUUUGAUAGAGAAGUUAUGCAACUUAUUCAUAAGUCUGCGUAUGAAUUGCUUGAACAGCAACUUCAGUUUAACCGUCAAGGUCAAAUUCCUCAAGAUCUCAUUGAGUUACAAGGAAGGGACAUUGUUUGGAUUGUUAAUUUCAAAGGUACUGAAAAAAAGAAUCCACAAUCAAGCUUCAAAGUUGUUAAACUGACUGAAAAACCACAAAAUGUUCAGAAAUUUCAAGAUAAUAUAAUCUUCAAGGAGAAACUCUAUCUGAAGUAUCUAUCAUAUCAAGCAUGUCAAACGCUAUUCAGAUGGAAAAUAUCUUUUUAGAAACAAAAGAUAUUGAAUUGCCUCUGUCUUCUCCUCUUACUCCAAGCACAAAACGAGGACGUGAUGAUGUCGUUGAUGCUGUUCAAGAAUCAUCAACAGAGCAAAAAUCAACAUCUAAGGUUGGAACACUUGGUAAAGCUCAGGAAACAUCAUGCAAAGCAAAAGCAUCGACGUAGUUGGUUCCAAAGAGACGAGAAAUUAUUAUGUUAUGUCACUUUGAUUGUUUUUCCAUUAAUGUAAUUCAUCCCUUUGUGCUUCUUUUUCUUUAACUAUGACUUAUUUAGUACCUCUAUGUUUGUAACUACUUAUGUAAAUUAAGUUUUUUUUUCUAAUAUUAAUGUUUUUCUAUCUA